Molecule: ribosomal RNA, 823 nt
Filed under: uncultured Pseudomonadota bacterium
Lineage: Bacteria; Pseudomonadati; Pseudomonadota
Description: bacterial SSU rRNA
Rfam family: Bacterial small subunit ribosomal RNA
Source: RNAcentral
GCGGCAGACUUAACACAUGCAAGUCGAGCGAGAAACCACUUCGGUGGCGGAAAGCGGCGAACGGGUGAGUAACACGUAGGUUACGUGCCCUUUGGUGGGGGAUAGCCCAGGGAAACCUGGAUUAAUACCGCAUAUGUCCUUCGGGAUGAAAGCCUUCGGGCGCCAAAGGAUCGGCCUGCGGCCCAUUAUUUAAUCCUGGAUGGUAAGGUAACGGCUUACCAUGGGUACGAUGGGUAGCUGGUCUGAGAGGAUGAUCAGCCACACUGGGACUGAGACACGGCCCAGACUCCUACGGGAGGCAGCAGUGGGGAAUAUUGGACAAUGGGCGAAAGCCUGAUCCAGUCAUGCCGCGUGUGUGAUGAAGGCCUUCGGGUUGUAAAGCACUGUCGGGAGGGAAGAAAGCUUCGGCUUGACGGUACCUCGCAAGAAAGCACCGGCUAACUCCGUGCCAGCAGCCGCGGUAAUACGGAGGGUGCAAGCGUUGCUCGGAAUUACUGGGCGUAAAGCGUACGCAGGCGGCCAAUUAAGUUGGAUGUGAAAGCCCUGGGCUCAACCCAGGAAUUGCAUUCAAAACUGGUUGGCUUGAGUGUGAGAGAGGGAAGUGGAAUUCCAGGUGUAGAGGUGAAAUUCGUUGAUAUCUGGAGGAACACCGGCGGCGAAGGCGGCUUCCUGGCUCACAACUGACGCUCAUGUACGAAAGCGUGGGUAGCAAACAGGAUUAGAUACCCUGGUAGUCCACGCCGCAAACGAUGUUUGCUAGGUGUUGGUGGAAUUUACCCCAUCAGUGCCGCAGUUAACGCAUUAAGCAAACCGCCUGGGGAGU